Mustela lutreola (European mink) is the source of this 1830-nucleotide long non-coding RNA. RefSeq lists it as uncharacterized. Lineage: Eukaryota; Metazoa; Chordata; Mammalia; Carnivora; Mustelidae. The record is from RefSeq and is a predicted model, not a curated record. The transcript has 5 exons.
UAUAAAAAAGAAAAAAUAUAUAUAUUAAACUAGUUAGAAAACGUUAAAAAAUAAAAAGGUAAAAGUUAAAAAAAAAUUUACCAGAAGGCGAGAAAACAAAACAAAAAAUGAAAAAGAAAAAAAUUAAAUUAACUGCAAGACUAAAAAAAAUCACAGGGAAAAAGCCAUGAGUUCCGUGCUUUGCUUUCUCCUCCUCUGGAAUUCUGCUGCUCUCCUUGGUAUUGAAACUGCACUCCUUGGUAGGUGAACUUGGUCUAGGCUGGAUUUCUUGUUGAUCUUCUGGGGGAGGGGCCUGUUGUAGUGAUUCUCAAGUGUCUUUGCCCCAGGUGGAAUUGCACCGCCCUUACCAGGGGCCGGGCUGAGUAAUCUGCUCGGGUUUGCUUUCAGGAGCUUUUGUUCCCUGAGCGCUUUCCGUAGAGUUCCGGAGGACGGGAAUACAAAUGGCGGCCUCCUGGUCUCCGGCCCAGAGGAGCCGAGAGCCCAGGGCCCCACUCCUCAGUGCACCCUCAGAGAACAGCGCCAGUUACUCCCGUCUGCCUGACCUCCGGCCGCGCUCCGAGCUCACCGAGCCUGUGACUGGUUCAAGCACUGACCCACCAGGGAGUAAGACUGAAUACCCUGAGGCCACCACACUGUGAGGAGGCGCAGGUCAAUGGAGAGACCAUGUGUGGGUCCUGGAGCUGAUAGUUCAAGAGAAGAUCCCAGACGGAAAUCAGUAUCAAUUACCAGACACAUGGAUGAAGACCCAUUGGGAGAGAGACAGAGAGAGUGAAUACAAACAGCAGGAGCAGGAGAAGGAGAAACAGGCUCCCCACUGAGCAGGGAGCCCAGUGCAGUACUCGAUCCCAGAACCCCAGGAUCACGACCUGAGCCGAAGACAGACACUUGACAGACUGAGACACCCAAGCACCCCUGUCAUUUGCGUUCUUUUCCCCAACUAGCUGCCUCCAUCAGUGUCCGGAUACAACAAGUUAGUUACAAAACAAAGCACAAGCCUCUGGCGGAUCCUGGAAUGGAAACUGAUGACAGAAAGCCAAUUUGCACCAUGCUUCAUCAUUGAGAACUAUAUUGAAGCUCAUGUUGUAAGUCAUAGAAUAACAUGGACCAGAGAAGGCCAUGUCCCUUCCGAGAGAGAAUUAUUUAAAAGCGCGAGGCUCCAGGCAGAUGGAAAAAGGGAUGGAACAUAUGGAAUUCAGCGCUGUUUUUCUUAAAGCUCCUCAGCUCUUGAAACCCAGUUCUCAUUUUCAGUUCAUGGCCAACAUCCACCAUUGGAGGAAAACAAAAUUAUGUUUCUUAUUAAGAUUUCUCAUGACCAGCUGUGGCAGACGCUCUCCAAUUUGCCGCCGCACUCCUCCCCUCAGGAUUCCCCUCCCAUCCCAAGAUAUUCUACUGGAAGGACUUGUGACUCUCAAGACAUGUCAGGGGGUUAGCCUUCUGGAAACAGCUUCUGGCCAAGGACAUACGCAAGCUGGAGGGUCAAUGCCUCCAUAUUCUCACACCUCAGGUGGGACCCAUCUGAGGUAUGUUUCAUACUGUGAGCUCCCCAGGGGAUUAAGCCCCAGCUGCCCAGAGUGGAAGUCUAUUCAUUGCUUCAUUCAGUAUUGGCUUCUUGCCUUCUUGGCCUCACUUCCCUACAGCUACUUCUGAGGUGCAGUACCCAAACAAACUCAUAUACUCCUGUGUUAGGGUUUGCCACUAGAGGAACUCAACUAAAGACAUAGCCUUUAAAAAGAGACACUUAAUUGUAUUUAUUUAUCACUCAUUCACCAUACUUCUACUGCAAGCCCACCAUGCUUGAGGUAAAAUGCUAGGAGCUGAGGAAGGAAAGAG